GGAUGGUGGACUUGAUAUUCCUCAUGGUGAGAAGAGGUUUGCUGGAUUCAGCAAAGAUUCCAAGCAACUUGAUGCUGAGGUUCACCGCAAGUAUAUAUAUGGUGGCCAUGUUGCAACAUAUAUGAAGACUUUGAUCGAAGAUGAACCUGAGAAAUAUCUGUCUCACUUUAGUGGGUACAUUAAGCGGGGUCUUGAGGCUGAUAAUCUCGAAGAGAUGUACAAGAAGGUUCAUGCU
Molecule: unclassified non-coding RNA, 235 nt
Filed under: Hevea brasiliensis (rubber tree)
Lineage: Eukaryota; Viridiplantae; Streptophyta; Magnoliopsida; Malpighiales; Euphorbiaceae
Source: RNAcentral